RNAcentral lists this long non-coding RNA (560 nucleotides) under Marmota monax (woodchuck). The record is from RNAcentral. Lineage: Eukaryota; Metazoa; Chordata; Mammalia; Rodentia; Sciuridae.
AGCCACUACUUCACUGGGCUCAGGUGGCGUGAGGAUGGCCUGAGGCCUGAGCCUAAGCAACCCCAUUUUAGAACUCAAGUUUGAAACCUGCAGUCUCACCAGGACACCUAGGAGCCCUCCAUAUGGCCCUCAGACACCAGCAAGUCACUUCCCCACCCUGGUAAACUCAGAGUGAAGUCUCAGGCAGGCUGUUCUCACCCAAUAAGAGGAAAAGGUGAAGGAUCAGGGUGGAGACCAACAGACCAAAUGUUUUAACCCCAGGGUAAAUGAUGUCACUGAGAAAUCUGGUGGCAGCUGAUAGGGAUUGAAAGGGGGGUCAAAAGCCCCCAAAUUUAGUAUAAAUAAUAGAGCAAAAGAACAGACUUUCAGCCGGCUGACACUGAUGCCCUCAGCUGAGAGCCUGAUGAGGACCUGGACCGACACCCCAACACUUUUCAUCUUUGCUGAUCCUCUGCAUCUUCCUCUCCGUUCUCGAACUCUACAGCCACAUCUUGACCCUGGAGAGAGCUGCAACUUCUCCCUCCGACACUCUCCUCAGCCAGCCGUCAGCUACACCCCAG